Molecule: ribosomal RNA, 686 nt
Filed under: uncultured bacterium
Lineage: Bacteria
Description: bacterial SSU rRNA
Rfam family: Bacterial small subunit ribosomal RNA
Source: RNAcentral
CAGGUCUUCGGACGCUGACGAGUGGCGAACGGGUGAGUAAUACAUCGGAACGUGCCCGAUCGUGGGGGAUAACGAGGCGAAAGCUUUGCUAAUACCGCAUACGAUCUACGGAUGAAAGCGGGGGAUCUUCGGACCUCGCGCGGACGGAGCGGCCGAUGGCAGAUUAGGUAGUUGGUGGGAUAAAAGCUUACCAAGCCGACGAUCUGUAGCUGGUCUGAGAGGAUGAUCAGCCACACUGGGACUGAGACACGGCCCAGACUCCUACGGGAGGCAGCAGUGGGGAAUUUUGGACAAUGGGCGAAAGCCUGAUCCAGCCAUGCCGCGUGCAGGAUGAAGGCCUUCGGGUUGUAAACUGCUUUUGUACGGAACGAAAAGCCUCUUUCUAAUAAAGAGGGGUCAUGACGGUACCGUAAGAAUAAGCACCGGCUAACUACGUGCCAGCAGCCGCGGUAAUACGUAGGGUGCAAGCGUUAAUCGGAAUUACUGGGCGUAAAGCGUGCGCAGGCGGUUUUGUAAGACAGAGGUGAAAUCCCCGGGCUCAACCUGGGAACUGCCUUUGUGACUGCAAGGCUGGAGUGCGGCAGAGGGGGAUGGAAUUCCGCGUGUAGCAGUGAAAUGCGUAGAUAUGCGGAGGAACACCGAUGGCGAAGGCAAUCCCCUGGGCCUGCACUGACGCUCAUGCACGA